CUGUCUUAGAUAGCCAUGCACGUCUAAGUACAAACUAAAUGAUGGUGAAACUGCAAAUGGCUCAUUACAACGGUUAUGAUGUACCCGGGAGUUCCGAUGGAUAUUUCCAGUAACACUAGAACUAAUACAUGUCCCUGCGUUUAUUAGUUUCGCACAGUCCGUCGCUGAGUCAUGGUAAACAGUUGAUCGACUCGACGUCCCGGAACAGUUUCCGCCCCAUCAGCUUCGAUGGUUGGGUAUUGGCCUACCAUUGCAACAACGGGUAACGAGGAAUUAGGGUUUGAUUUCGGAGAGGGAGCCUGAGAAACGGCUACCACAUCUACGGAUGGCAGCAGGCGCGCAAAUUACCCAAUGCAGACACUGUGAGGUAGUGACGAGAAAUAAUAAAGCGGGACUUCUGUUUCGCUAUUAUAAUGAGGAAUAACCAAAGGUCAUUCCGAUUAGCAACUGAUGGGAAAGUCUGGUGCCAGCAGCCGCGGUAAUACCAGCGUCAGUAGCAU
RNAcentral lists this ribosomal RNA (500 nucleotides) under uncultured Myrionecta. RNAcentral describes it as "SSU rRNA". It matches the Rfam family "Eukaryotic small subunit ribosomal RNA", at positions 34 to 600 of the family's 1831-position model. The record is from RNAcentral. Lineage: Eukaryota; Ciliophora; Litostomatea; Cyclotrichida; Mesodiniidae.